UACGUAGGGGGCAAGCGUUGUCCGGAUUUAUUGGGCGUAAAGGGCGCGUAGGCGGUGCCACAAGUCACCUGUGAAAUCUCCGGGCUUAACUCGGAGCCUGCAGGCGAAACUGUGGUGCUGGAGUGUGGGAGAGGUGCGUGGAAUUCCGAGUGUAGAGGUGAAAUUCGUAGAUAUUCGGAGGAACACCAGAAGCGAAGGCGGCGCUCUGGACCGAUACUGACGCUGAGGCGCGAAAGCGUGGGGAGCAAACAGG
This 253-nucleotide ribosomal RNA is filed under the name uncultured bacterium. RNAcentral describes it as "partial 16S ribosomal RNA". It matches the Rfam family "Bacterial small subunit ribosomal RNA", at positions 524 to 776 of the family's 1533-position model. The record is from RNAcentral.